This 249-nucleotide unclassified non-coding RNA is filed under the name fungal sp. Its description in RNAcentral is "partial internal transcribed spacer region". The stretch from base 1 to 46 matches the Rfam family "Eukaryotic small subunit ribosomal RNA", at positions 1786 to 1831 of the family's 1831-position model. Lineage: Eukaryota; Fungi. The record is from RNAcentral.
AAGUCGUAACAAGGUUUCCGUAGGUGAACCUGCGGAAGGAUCAUUAACAAAUUCCAAAACUCGUGUUUGACUUGUCUUGAAUCUGGUUUUUUCAAGCCUCUUUAUACGACAGUAUGAAGGGCUUGAGGGCGCUGGAGUAAGGGUCAAGUCAGUUAACAACACAAAAACACACUUUACAUUUAUUGACAACUAAUGGAGAAUCUAAACGUUAAAUCGAAACAACUUUUAACAAUGGAUCUCUCGGCUCUU